CCUACGGGUGGCAGCAGUGAGGAAUAUUGGUCAAUGGACGGAAGUCUGAACCAGCCAUGCCGCGUGCAGGAAGACGGCUCUAUGAGUUGUAAACUGCUUUUGUACAAGGGUAAACCUGAAUACGUGUAUUCAGCUGAAAGUACUGUACGAAUAAGGAUCGGCUAACUCCGUGCCAGCAGCCGCGGUAAUACGGAGGAUCCAAGCGUUAUCCGGAUUCAUUGGGUUUAAAGGGUGCGCAGGCGGGCCUUUAAGCCGGCGGUGAAAUCGCGGGGCUCAACCCCGCCGAGCCGUCGGAACUGGGGGCCUUGAGUGCGGCGGAGGCAUGCGGAAUGCGCGGUGUAGCGGUGAAAUGCAUAGAUAUCGCGCAGAACCCCGAUUGCGAAGGCAGCGUGCCGUGCCGCCACUGACGCUGAGGCACGAAAGCGCGGGGAUCGAACAGGAUUAGAUACCCGUGUAGUC
RNAcentral lists this ribosomal RNA (459 nucleotides) under uncultured bacterium. RNAcentral describes it as "partial 16S ribosomal RNA". It matches the Rfam family "Bacterial small subunit ribosomal RNA", at positions 338 to 795 of the family's 1533-position model. The record is from RNAcentral.